This 100-nucleotide ribosomal RNA is filed under the name Ixodes scapularis (black-legged tick). RNAcentral's name for it is "Eukaryotic large subunit ribosomal RNA". It matches the Rfam family "Eukaryotic large subunit ribosomal RNA", at positions 1233 to 1332 of the family's 3401-position model. Lineage: Eukaryota; Metazoa; Arthropoda; Arachnida; Ixodida; Ixodidae. The record is from Rfam by way of RNAcentral.
GAGCGAUGCAGAACGGUGGACAUGGAAGUCGGAUCCUGCUAAGGAGUGCGUAACAACGCACCUGCCAAACUAACUAUCCUUGAAAAUGGGUGGCGCUGUA